GUAGAGACAGGGUAUUUCUACCAGGCUGGUCUUGAACUCCUGGACUCAUCUUCCCAAAGAGCUAGUAUUAUAUACGUAAGCCACUACGUCUGGCCAAAAAUUCCUUUAAAUGGAGAUGGAUUCAAGAAUUCCUAGUGUGAAGAUCUGGCCUAAAAUUCCUUUAAAUGGAGACAGAUUCAAUAAUUCCUAGCGUGAAGAUGAUACUUUCAGGGAUAAUUUCUAUAAUUCGUUACUAGAAAAGUUUCUCUAAAUGUGUAGAGAAAAAAACAUUUCCUAGUUUGAAUCUUGAUUUGUGUAAUUCCUGGCUCUUAACCCUUUUCUAUUGUUGUCUUCUGUCCUCUCUGAAUUCUGAUGGGAUUUAUUAUCUUUAGGACACAAAUUGACACCGACAUGAUUUCUAAAUGUUUUAUUUGUGGGCAUCUAAUCUUAACUGGGGAGAUAAAGCAAUGAUGUGUAUCUUAUUACCUUUGUGGCUCAUAGACUCUAGCACAAUGCUGGGUACAUAGGUGACACUCAGACAAGCAUUAGUUAGCUAUGCACCCCUUUUUCUGCUUGCUAGGGAAAAGAUAUGCCCUUUAUCUCCUCUCCCUAUCCCCCUACCCCCAGUUUGGCUUGCUUAAUAGCCUUCCUUAGGUAGCCACAUUUGGAGAAUUCCUUUAAGCUUAGUAUUGCCAGUGCUGUCUUUGGUUGUAUAUUACACUUCUUUAUGGUGGAUUGAUGGAAAGAGUUGGUACCAUUGGAUUAGCUCAGCAGUGGUCAUUAGCUUUCUGACAAUAGCCAGCAAAAGUAUAAUAAUUACCCAGAUUAUUACAAGUAUAUGUUUGAAUCAGAUUCCACAUUUGUUGGUUUAUUCUAUAUUAAGAUUUUGAGAGUUCUGGAUAAAUAUGUUUAAGAACAGACUUCUUCUAUUUAUUUAUGUAUUUAUUUUAGAUGGAGUGUUGCUCUGUUGCCCAGGCUGGAGUGCAGUGGCGUGAUCUCGGCUCACUGCAACUUCCACCUCCUGGGUUCAAGUGAUUUUCCUGUCUCAGCCUCCCAAGUAGCUGGGCAUAUAGGCGUGUGCCACCAUGCCUGGCUAAUUUUUGUAUUUUUUGUAGAGACUGGGUUUCGCCAUGUUGGCCAAGCUGGUCUCGAACUCCUGGCCUCGGGUAACCCACCUGCCUCGGCCUCCCAAAAUACUGAGAUUACAGGCAUGAGCCACUGCACCCAGGCCAGACUUCUAUUUUUUUUUUUUUUUUUUUUUUUUUGAGACAGAUUCUCGCUCUGUUGCCCAGGCUGGAGUGCAGUGGUGUAAUCUCGGUUCACUGCAACCUCCGUCUCCCUGGUUCAAGCGAUUCUCCUGCCUCAGCCUCCCAAGUAGCUGGGAUUACAGGUGUGCACCACCACGCCCGGCUAAUGUUUUUGUAUUUUUAGUAGAGACGGGGUUUCACCAUGUUGGACAGGCUAGUCUUGAACUCCUGACCUCGUGAUCCACCCACCUCGGCCUCCCAAAGUGCUGGGAUUACAGGUGUGAGCCACUGUGCCUGGCUGACUUCUUUUAUUUUUAAGGAAGCAACCAUUCUUUUUAUUUUUUAUUGUUUUGAGAGACAGUCUUGUUCUCUUAACCAGGCUACAGUGCAGUGGUGUGGUCAUAGCUUGCUGGAACCCUCAACUCCUGGGCUUAAGCAGUCCUCCCACUUCAGCCUCUUGAGUAGCUGGGUAUAUAGGCAUGUGAUGUGUCACCAUGCCUAGCUCAUAAAAAGAAUUUUUUUUUUUUUUGGAGAAACAGUCUUGCUAUGUUGCCCAAGCUGGUUUCUUAACUCCUGGCUUCAAUAGAUCCUCUCACUUUAGCCUCCCAGAGUGUUGGGAUUACAGGCAUGAGCUACCACAUCCAGCACAAAAUCAUGCUUAUUUUAAAACUCAUAAAAUAUCUGAAUAAAUGAACUUGGAUAUCUUAAAAUUCUGAUUAUUUGAACUUUUCUAAGUCCCAAGUGGCUUUUCUUUAUGCUUCAUGUAAUUCUUUUCUUUAACAUGAAAUCUAAAUAGAAAAUACAGCAUCAAGAGUGGUUUAAGUCAAAGGCAAUACAUUGGUAGGAAAUCAUUCAGAUGAUGUUAUCAAUGAAAUGCUCUUUUAUUUCAACUUCAAACAUGAGGUAGCCCUAAAACAAAAAAUGAUUUGCUAUCAACUGCUAGGAUGUUUUUAUUUCUUCUUAUGUUUUAGCUUUGCAUCCCUAUAGAUUUUCUUAAAAAUUACUGUUUGUUUUCCUGUGAUUAAGGUCAAGAUUACCUUUUAAUAUCUCAGGAUAGCUGUUAGAAUAGAGGAUUCAAAGGCUGAUAGCCUCACAGAGUCUUACUCUGUCGCCCAGGCUGGAGUGCAGUGGCGCAAUCUUGGCUCACUGCAACCUCCGCCUCUCGGGUUCAAGCAAUUCUUCUGCCUUAGCCUCCCGAGUAGAUGGGGCUAAAGGCACGCGCCACCACGCCCAGCCAAUUUUUGUAUUGUUAGUAGUGAUGGUGUCUCACCAUGUUGGCCAGGCUGGUCUUGAGCUCCUGACCUCAGGUGAUCGGCCUGCCUCAGCCUCCCAAAGUGCUGGUAUUACAGGCGUGAGCCACCAUGCUCAGCCCUUUAUUCUUUUUUUUUGAGACGAGGUCUUACUCUGUUGCCCAGGCUGAAGUAUAGUAGUCUGAUCAUGGCUCACCGCAGCCUUGAACUCCUGGGCUUAAGUGAUCCUCCGACCUCAGCCUUUUGAAUAGCUAGGACUACAGGCACAAUCCACCACACUGGGCUAAUUUUUAAAUUUUUUGUAGAGAUGAAGUCUCACUAUGUUGCCCAUGUUGGUCUUGAACUCCUCGGCUCAAGCAGUCCUCCUGCCUUGGCCUCCCAAAGUACUGGGAUUAUAGGGUGAGCCACCGUGCCCGGACUCUUUAUUCUUUGAUUAAUGCCAUACCAUGGCUCAUGGAUAUAUUAGAAUUACUAGGAUAACAUGUUAGGAAAACUAAGAUGUUACUGUGGAAGUUGUGCACUUUAAAGAAUCUUAAACGUUUGCCAGCCGUAGUGGCUCAUGCCUGUAAUCCCAGCACUUUGGGAGGCCGAGGCGGGCGGAUCAUGAGGUCAGGAGUUCGAGACCAGCCUGACUAAUAUGGUGAAACCCCGUCUCUACUAAAAAUACAAAAAAAUUAGCUGGGUGUGGUGGUGCGCGCCUGUAAUCCCAACUACUCGGGAGGCUGAGGCAGGAGAAUUGCUUGAAUCCGGGAGACGGAGGUUGCAGUGAGCCGAGAUCAUGCCACUGCACUCCAGCCUGGGUGACAGAGCAACACUCCGUCCCGGAAAAAGGGAAAAAAAAGAACCUUAGUGAUUAGAGUUCAGUAAGACCUUAUAUUGAGGAAACAAGAGUAUGAGUGGUGAAAUGGCUUUUUUUUUUUUUUUUAUUGAGAUGGAGUCACGCUGUCGUCCAUGCUGGAGUGCAGUGGCGCUAUCUCUGCUCUCUGCAGUCUCUGUCUCCUGGGUUCAAGUGAUUCUGCUGCCCCAGCCUCCUGAGUGGCUGGGACUACAGGUGUGCGCCACCGCCCCCUGCCGAUUUUUGUAUUUUUAGUAGAGAUGGGGUUUUGCCAUGUUGGUUAGGCUGGUCUCGAACUACUGACCUCAGAUGAUCUGCGUGUCUUGGCCUCCCAAAGUACUGGGGUUACAGGUGUGAGCCACUGCGCCCGGCCGAAAUGGUUUUUUUCUUAGUAGCUCAGCAUCUUAAUACAGAACUGGAAAUGGGUCACGCAUCUUCUCAUUUUCCUAUUCAAUUCUUUUCCUACUAAAUUACACAAUUCUUUGUUUCAUUUAAAACACUUAAGCUGAGAGUGGUUCUAAAAAGUGGAUUGGGGUCAAAUUUUUUUUUUUUUUUUUUGAGAUGGAGUUUCGCUGUUGUUGCCCAGGCUGGAGUGCAAUGGUGUGAUCUCGGCUCACUACAGCCUCUGCCCCCAGAGUUCAAGCGAUUCUCCUGUCUCAGCCUCCUGAGUAGCGGGGAUUACAGGCACCUGCCACCAUGCUGGGCUAAUUUUUUGUAUUUUUAUUGGAGACAGGAUUUCGCCAUGUUGGCCAGGCUGGUCUUGAACUCCUGGCCUCAGGUGAUCCCCCCACUUCAGCCUUGGAAAGUGUUGGGAUUACAAGGCGUGAGCCACUGUGCCCGGCCAAAUUCUUAAAGUACCUAACGUCAAAGUCAGUCUUGAAUAAUUACUCUCUAAUUUAGAUUAAGCUUGAUAAUAACUGUUAAAAAACCUUUCCUCUGUAGGUUGAACACAAAAGGAAAACAAUGCAUUUAUUUCACUGCACUUUGUUAAAUGCUUGCAGUUAGCUUGUGUAAAAAUGAAAGUUGGCUUCAAGCAAA
This 4349-nucleotide long non-coding RNA is filed under the name Homo sapiens (human). Its description in RNAcentral is "HSALNT0358411". The record is from RNAcentral. Lineage: Eukaryota; Metazoa; Chordata; Mammalia; Primates; Hominidae.